GGGGAUGUAGCUUAGUGGUAGAGCACUUGCCUAGUAUUUAAGAGGCACUGGGUUCGAUCCCCAGCACUGCAA
This 72-nucleotide transfer RNA is filed under the name Marmota marmota marmota (Alpine marmot). It matches the Rfam family "tRNA". Rfam says of the family: Transfer RNA (tRNA) molecules are approximately 80 nucleotides in length. Lineage: Eukaryota; Metazoa; Chordata; Mammalia; Rodentia; Sciuridae. RNAcentral also lists the same sequence under 4 other names. The record is from Rfam by way of RNAcentral.